GACGAACGCUGGCGGCGUGCUUAACACAUGCAAGUCGAACGGUAAGGCACCAGCUUGCUGGGGUACACGAGUGGCGAACGGGUGAGUAACACGUGGGUGACCUGCCCCGCACUUCGGGAUAAGCCUGGGAAACUGGGCCUAAUACCGGAUACGACCGCACCGAGAGGGUGUGGUGGAAAGUUUUUCGGCGUGGGAUGGGCCCGUGGCCUAACAGCUUGUUGGUGGGGUAAUGGCCUACCAAGGCGGCGACGGGUAGCCGGCCUGGGAGGGUGGACGGCCACAGUGGGACUGGGGCACGGCCCAGGCGCCUACGGGGGGCAGCAGUGGGGAAUAGUGCACAAUGGGCGGAAGCCUGAUGCAGCGACGCCGCGUGGGGAUGACGGCCUUCGGGUUGUAAACUCCUUUCACCAUCGACGAAGGUUUUCUGACGGUAGAUGGAGAAGAAGCACCGGCUAACUACGUG
This 463-nucleotide ribosomal RNA is filed under the name uncultured bacterium. RNAcentral describes it as "partial 16S ribosomal RNA". It matches the Rfam family "Bacterial small subunit ribosomal RNA", at positions 28 to 507 of the family's 1533-position model. The record is from RNAcentral.